Molecule: ribosomal RNA, 327 nt
Filed under: uncultured bacterium
Lineage: Bacteria
Description: bacterial SSU rRNA
Rfam family: Bacterial small subunit ribosomal RNA
Source: RNAcentral
CAUUUGACGUUAGCUGCAGAAGAAGCACCGGCUAACUCCGUGCCAGCAGCCGCGGUAAUACGGAGGGUGCGAGCGUUAAUCGGAAUUACUGGGCGUAAAGCGCAUGCAGGUGGUUUGUUAAGUCAGAUGUGAAAGCCCGGGCUCAACCUCGGAAUUGCAUUUGAAACUGGCAAACUAGAGUACUGUAGAGGGGGUAGAAUUUCAGGUGUAGCGGUGAAAUGCGUAGAGAUCUGAAGGAAUACCCGGUGGCGAAGGCGGCCCCCUGGACAGAUACUGACACUCAGAUGCGAAAGCGUGGGGAGCAAACAGGAUUAGAUACCCUGGUAG